This 447-nucleotide ribosomal RNA is filed under the name uncultured bacterium. RNAcentral's name for it is "bacterial SSU rRNA". It matches the Rfam family "Bacterial small subunit ribosomal RNA", at positions 355 to 825 of the family's 1533-position model. The record is from RNAcentral.
UGAGGAAUAUUGGUCAAUGGACGAAAGCCUGAUCCAGCCAUGCCGCGUGAGUGACGAAGGCCUUAGGGUUGUAAAACUCUUUCGUCGGGGACGAUAAUGACGGUACCCGAAGAAGAAGCUCCGGCUAACUUCGUGCCAGCAGCCGCGGUAAGACAGAGGUUGCAAACGUUGUUCGGAAUCACUGGGCAUAAAGCGCACGUAGGCGGUCUGUUAAGUCAGGUGUGAAAGCCCCCGGCUCAACCGGGGAACAGCAUUUGAUACUGGCAGACUCGAGGAUGGUAGGGGUGAGUGGAACUCCAGGUGGAGCGGUGAAAUGCGUAGAUAUCUGGAGGAACACCGGUGGCGAAAGCGGCUCACUGGACCAUAACUGACGCUGAGGUGCGAAAGCUAGGGUAGCAAACGGGAUUAGAUACCCAGGUAGUCCCUGAGCGGGCUGGCAAGGCGCAU